GAUGUAUUUUUUUUUUCACUUGGAGAUUCAUAUUCUAAGUGUUAGCAUUUGCUAGACUCUGUCCCACAGUUACCUAGCAACAGCCAGGUGUGCCUGACUCACUAUAAAAGGGGCUGCUUGCCCCCUCCUUGCUCUCUUGCUCCUCUCUUGUUCUUUCUCUACUUCCCUUCCUCUCUCUUUCCCCAUUCCCUUCCCCCAUCUCUCUCCACAUGCUCAUGGCUGGUCUCUACCAUUCUACUCUCUUUCUCUCUCUCUCUCUCUCUCUCUCUCUGCCUUUCCCUGCCUCUUCUACCCCCUUAACUCCCCUCCCCGUGCCCUGAACAAACUCUAUUCAAUACUAUACAGCUGGUCCCUCAGGAGGAAGGGAUGCCGUGACAUGGGCCUGCUGAGGCACCCCUUCCCCCAUGCCUCAUCACACCCCCAUAGAACAUAUGCCUUCCUCUAUGUUUUUAUAAACACAACACUAAGCACUAUCUUUAUUUAAUUGUCUGUGUGGCUUAUAGAGGAUAAUGUAAAUUAUUUUAGAGUGUUUCUUUUAUGUACUUAAAAAAAAAACUGGUACCAUUGCUUGGUAUAUUUGUGGACAGUGCUCACGGAAUCUGCCUAACACAAAUGCUAGUUCUCAGAAGUAAGCACAAAUGUAUCUACAAACGGUCUGUGGUCAGAAGAGUAUUUUGAUGCUGGUGGGAAUGUGCAGCCAAGUUUGUUUUAGAGAGUUGUUCCUUUCUAUUUGUCUCACAGUUGUGAUGUCUGAGGUGUUAUCCUCUCUGCCAUCUUGUCUGUUCCUCUCUCUCACCAUCUGAUGGACCGACUUUUCAGAGACAACCCUUUUCUCUUCUAUCUUAUGCAGGGACCACGGUGUGUGGCUGAUCUUUGUCUAAGUCCUUGUCUUCUGCGUAUCCUUGUGGGGAACAGAAACAUUAGCCUGUAUUGAUUAGAGGGUGAAGCUGAAAGGCCAGUCCCCAAAGGCUUUGCAUUGCAGUGGGCUGGAGAGAAAGGAAGGCUGGAGACCAUUAUUCACUAGUACCCUUUGCUCCAGCACACAAUCCGAGACGAUCACGGACAGUGUCUACAGCUAACCGUGGUACAGCCUCUGUGCUAAUGUCCCAAAGAUUUUAUGUAACUGCGUCUUCCCGUACCUUUCUUGCUUUUCAGCUGCUUAUAUUUAUAUCAUUUGCCUCUCCCCAUGGAUGCCUGACUCAGUCUUCCUUGUUACAAACUCAAAAUAACAACCAAACCGAACCAAAACAAAAACAAAACCCUUUCGAUGUUCCACCCAUUCCAUUCUGGCUUCCAGGAGGGUCAUGCGUGGUUGACAAAUGAGUCACGGAGCAUGAGAGCUGACUCCUGUGGAGAGUGAACAAGGCUGUGUGGUAGCACAGUUCACUGUUGCUGCAGAUCCAGUGAGUUGCUCACUCAGCAUGAGAUUCCUCAGUGCCGAUGGGGAGAUCGGUAGAGCAGUAGCUUAGACAAACAAGCUGACCACAGGUCAAGACAGACAGGUAGUGACUUCAGCUUGAAUCCAGUAGGAAUAGAGGCAAAAAACGUGAGAUUGGAAUCAAGUAGCUCACGAGCCCCCCCCCCCUUUUUCUGAUGACUGAUGUGCCCUGCAGAAGGGCUCUGACAUUCCUCUGUCCUUCAGAGAGAAAAGAGGAAAGCAAGGGGUAUCCAAAAAAGGGCCCAGUGUUACAUCCAUCCUUUACUGGGCUAGUCUAAAAUCACUUGCCAGUAUGAUUCCUUCUGUUUUUUUUUUUUUUUUUUUAAUCUUAAAAGUAUCAGUAGGAGAGGAUGCCUGUAAACAUUUCAAUAUAAUUGUGGAUUUCUGGGUAAGUACAAUUUAAUAGUAAUUUCCUUUCCAGAAACUCUAGAUAAUCCUGUGCCUCUGGCUGAGGCACUUGUUCUCCGUGUGAUGCCUCACGCCUCACAGGGAAGGCACUGCUGCCAAAUUCCUUUACACAAAUCCCCAAAGAAUGCGUUUGCCUUUGAGAGUGUGCUUGCUAGGCCCUGUCCUGUUUGGCUGUGGAGGGCGGGGUCUGCAUACAGGGCAAGCAGCAUACCUUUCUGGGGGGACCCAGGAAACUGUUCUGCCAAGCAAAGGGCAGAACUUGGGGACUCAGGUGGAACAUGAGAAAUUGUUUACUGGGGUUAGGAAUUUGCCUGGAGGUAUCCAGAACACUUUUCCCUCCAUCCCUCCCUCCCUCAUUCUCCCCCUCUCCCCUGCCCCCCCCCUCUGUAUGUAAAUAGUAGUUUGCUAUUAUUUUAAAAUAAGUUCGUUUCCUAUUAGAAAAUGACUCCUUUGCGGUCACACGUCUUUACUGAUUGUUCUAUUACUGUGACACCUUUAAGUUCUCACAUAAUUGUGCACAUUUACAGGUGUGCAGAGUGACAUUUCCUGGUAUAGUUUGUAACCUCAAAUACUUAUAGUUUCUUUUGUGUGGGGAGCAUUCAAAAAUAUUUUGAAAUAUUGGUAUUGAAAUGUUGUUAAUUAAUUGUUGCCGGCCACAGUUCUGUGAAGUGCAGUGUUUCCCUCUCUUCUCGCUGGGACUCUAGAAGAAUACCUGUAAAAGCUCACAGUUUUCCCAGGGCUCUGCUGAGAGGACAAAGAAAAAGGCAUGUGCCAAGCUUCUCUUUGAACUCCAUGGUCUUAUUUCAUCACCAUCAAAUACUGUCAUAUUUCCUAUGUGCUACCUCACCCAGCGGACUACUAUAGCAGGACAGUGGCUUUUUUUUUUUUUUGGAACUUAAUGGGAAUUAUUUUUACUGUAAGACAGAUGUUUUCUCUAUAAUCUUUAACAGUCACAGAAUUCACUUUAACAGAUACAAAAUGGCCGUCAUUUGGGAAAGG
Molecule: long non-coding RNA, 2845 nt
Filed under: Mus musculus (house mouse)
Lineage: Eukaryota; Metazoa; Chordata; Mammalia; Rodentia; Muridae
Description: long non-coding RNA chr14:103499142-103501987
Source: RNAcentral